AAUGUCAUAAUGUGGGUACAAACUAACAGUAUAGGAACAAGGACAUUGAUAAAAAUUGAAAAAGAAAAAUUGGAAAUUUAUUCAGAGAAGAAGUAGCAUCAAUUGCCUAGGGAAUAAGUGCCUGCAGAUGUUACACCUUGGUCCCCAGUAUGCUUGAAACAAACUGGAGACUGAUCAGUUUCUUACAGUAUCAGAAGACAGCAGCCCAGCUACAGCUAACCACACAAAGAGAUUGAAGAACACUGAGCUGCCAAGGAGUAGUGACCCAGCAAGAAUCAAGGUAGACUUAUCUGGGCCUGUCUGCAAGCCUUUUGCUCUGUCUUCCAUAGGAGAGAAGGAAUCUCUUCUGCCAACACAUUGUCUGUUUAAAUGGCUACUGCACAGAACCAAUCCACUUUACAAGACUCUUUAAAAUUUUUCCUUGUCAACAGUCCGUCCAAUCCAAAGUUCAUAAUUAGAGAUUUCCAGUCUGUGUUGUUUAAUUCUAUGAACUCUACUGCAUUCUUCUCUGCUUCCCCUUCAUCUGCUUGGCAACUGGGCAUUGGAAAAUUUAGUCUUUAAAAUAUGGAGCCAAGAAAGAAUGCCUACACAGGCACUCACAUCUGAACAGCCCCCUCUCCUCAUCAAACAAUACAAUAGCUGUUGAAUCCGCAAAUCCCGCUGCCACGGCCACUUGCAGCUGCACUGCAACUGUCGUCAGUAAUUCCCUACAGAACAGACCAAGAAGUAUUAAUGCAGUUCCAAUGGUUUGCAGUGUUCUAUUUGCAGUGCUUAUAUAAUCAAAAUCAAGUGUUGUCUUGUAGUAAUAUCACUCCCAAAGUCUCUAUCUUCUGAUAAGAGGUUAACUUAGGUGGCAAGAUGGUAUCAAUAGGAUUCUUGAAGCAUGCCCAGGCACAAAUAACUAAAGGCAUAUUUCAAAAAAAUUUGGUUACCAAACAGGAAAAACCUAGUAGAAUUAGCAUAAAAUAGGUAAAAACUGGAAAAUCACCAUGUUAAUUUGAGCAGGUCAUUCAAGUACAUGUGGUUUUGGCCUCUUAAAUAUUCAAUCACAAGUACAUUCUAUAUGAUUUUAAGCUACUACAGAAGUAUGAAAAAGAAAAUUAUGAGAAUGUCAACCAGUGUGGAAACUAAUUUCCUUAAGUAACUUCUCUCAAUAUCCUUUUCCUUUAAGACAAUACGGUUACAAGUUGCAACUUAAUUUUUGUCUCCGGACUUACCAUGUGAACGUACUUGAGUCUGAUUGUAACUCGACCCAACCAAGCAAGGGCCAUCCAUAGUUGAUACUAUUGACGCUGGUUGAUGGAAUUGAGUCCCAGGCUAGUCCAGCUUGACUAAUAGUCAAAUAUGCUCUCAAAGCGAACUUUCCUGAGAUUGAGAACAAACCUUGAAUCAUAAAAAGUUCAGGAAAAUAAAUCCGGAGAAUAUUUAAUAUAGUCAACAACCAACUCUUCUUCCUUCAUAAGAGGUGGUGAAUUAGCUCAUAAUAUAGAAGAGUAAAUUUUGUGAAGAUGGGGAAUAAGCUCAAAAUCAUAAUUUCUAUACAAAAUCAGAAAGUUCAAUGAGAGAAUUGCACUCAACUACUAAAAGAUAAUAACAACAUCAAAAUAAAAAACAGAAAAAAAAAAAGAACCGUAAAAGUCUUAUAGACAAGACAAUUUAAUUACAAUAUUCGUCGUGGGAAUUUUGUGGUAUAGACCUUCAUUUAGACUUGGACUUUUUAAUUUUCUUUAUGAAUAAACAAUUGGCUCCUGCUCAAAUGAAAAAUGAGAACCAAUGCUCAGAGUCACAGACAGAGGUGUAGGCAUGGCAAUGCCAAUUUUGCAAAUGAUCAUUUGGUCAUAGUCAAAACCUCAGAAAAGCCAAAACAAGAACAAUAUAACAUCAAAAUUGGGACAAAAACAUGUGUAGCAACUACAUAACAAAGAUUUGUGUCAAUCUGCUCACCUUUUAAAGGUGGUCCACUGGGUUAGUGCAAAAUAGACUAACUUUUUCUUUAUAGGGGCCCUCAAUCAGUGUUGGCUGCUGAACUAGAAGAGAGUUCAGAUAACUAAAAAAUUCUAUAAAUUCAAUACCAUAAAAUACCUCACAUAAAAAUGUUGCUUUUGGAAUUGUAGUUUUCCAAAUGUUCCCAAAUUUAAAAAUACAUUGGCAUAAAGUUAUUGAUGUUUACCUCAUAUUUUUUUCCAUGGUCAUAUCAAACAUUGUUCACAUAGUAAGUCUUCUAUGCUGAUCCUUGUUACUUAAUAUGAGACACAGAAAAGAAAAAGUAGUGAUCAAUUUAUUUUGAUAUCAAAGGGAGCAAAGCCAUAACAUGUAUAUUACAUAUGUAGCCAACUAAGUACAUAUUAUGAUGUGGGUAAGAUUCAAUACAUAUUUCAAUAACCAUGAAUUACCUAAAAAUGUAUCCACGUGUUCUUAUAGGGGAUAAACACACAAGUAGCUAGGAGUCAUCUCUGCCCAUUUCGAAAGGUAAAUUGAUGGUGUCAUGAAAAUAUGAUAACUGGCUUCUUUAAAAUAUGAAUUACCAUGGAUCAAUCUUUCUUUACUCUUCUUUACUUCAUUAGAAAAUUCUUUUUUUUUUAAAAAAAAAGAUAGGGCAGAGCAUGCUGCAUAACCAAAUUCCCAAUAAGAAGGCUAGAAAAUGAGUUAUGGAGACAUGCAACUAUAGAGAUUGUUAGAAAUUUUGAAACAUGAGUACUUGGCCAGCUACUUUAUGAAUUGGAACAUAACUUUUUUAAAGAAAAUAAGUCUAAGCAUAAAACAAAUUACCUGACGGUAUAUUGAUCACUAUUUUUGGAGUUGAGAGAGGGCAAUUUCAUAUAUACAAGAUCAUGGGAUUAUGUUCCCUCUAGAACUCAAUUUUGCUUGUCAAUAGCCCGUGUACCACAUUCCUCUCUGCUCCCCUUUCAUCUGCUUGGCAAUCGGGCAAUUGAAAAAAUUUCAUCUUUAAAAUCUAUAUCCAAGAAAGAAUACCCAUAUAGGCAACAAUUUGGACAACCUCCCCUCUUCAUCAAGCAAUACAAUGGUUGUUAAAUCCACAAAUCCCACUACCAUGACUACUGGUGUCUAUGCUGCAAAUGUCAUCAGAAAUUGCCUGCACGAUAGACCAAGAAGAAGCAUUUGUUUUUAAAACCAGAAGCUUCUAUAUAUAAGUAAAGCAUCUUAUAUAAAGAGUAUAGAUUUACCUUAUCUAUUUAAAAAUCACAUUUUCAAAAAUUUUAAAAUUUGAGAGAAUAAGAAUCUAUUUGGUGAAGUUUUUAAAAAUAAUUUUAUGUUUUUAAAAAUUGAAAACAGUUUUAAAAAAUUAAUAACACUGUUUGGUUAUUCUUCUCAAUUUCCUUUUUAAAAACAAAAUAAAAUAAAGAACAACUUUUAAAGAACAAGUAAAAGUUAUUUUUAUCCAUUUUUAAAAAUAAUAGAAAAACAUAUGCACUCUAUUAUUUCUCUUCUACAUAGAAUUAUUAUUUUUCAAUUUUUUUGGUUAAGUAAAUUAACUCCAAAUUAAACAAAAUUUAAUGUGUUGUAUUUGUUAACAAGUCUAUUAAUUUUUAAAAAUAAUUUAAAACUUAAAUAAUAAACUCAUUAAUACCAUAAAUUUAUUAAUAUAAUAAAAUAUCUUUUUUUCUAACAAAUAAUAAAAUAGUAUAAUUUCUACUAAAAAUAUAAUUUAUGAUUUUAUUAUAAUAUUACUAUUUAUGUUUUACUAAAAACUAUAUAUAUAUUUUAAUUUAUUUGUAAUUACAAAAUUAUUUUCAUUUUCAAUAAGAAUUCAAUUAAAUUUAAUUAAUUAAUAUUAUAUAAAUUGAAUUAAAAAUAUUUUUACAAAAUUAUAAUAAUUUAAAAGAAAAAAACAAUUGAUCCGAACAAGUUUUUUUUUUUUAAAUCCUUCUAUAAUAAUAACUUACCAAAUAUCCUUAAUUUUAUAAAACAUUAAAAAAAACCUUUUUUGAUUCUUUAACAUUAAAAAAGUUUCUAAAAAAAAACAUAAGAAAUCAUGUUCAAACAACAAAUUUUAAAAAAUUAAUCAAAGUAUUUAAUUGACUUGUAUUAAAAAUGAAUAUUAAAAUUAUUUUUAUAUUAUAGAAAUUUUUGUUUCACUAUAAUAAAAAUAUUGUUUCAUAAUUAAAAACAAAAUUAUUUAUCUUUAAUUAAUAUAUAAUUGUAUAUUUAAUUUUUAUUUUUUAAUAAGACUUAACAUGAAUUUGAUUUCAUAUUAUUAUAAAUUAAUUUUAUAAAAUAAAAGUAAUACAUUGUUUUUAAAAAAUAAUACAAAUUCUUUCAUCUUAUUGUUUUUUGUUUUUUAAAAAAUAUUUUUUAAAAUAUCUUGCCAAACAUUCUGGUUUUUUUAAAAAAAAUUUUGCCCUAAAUUUUUUUUGAUACCUUGAUUGUUUUAAACAGUUUUUAAAAUUAUUAAUUUUUCAAUGUAAGCCUUUAAGAGUUAAAAUACAAAAGUUACUGUCACUUAAUUUUAGGCUUAACAAUGUAGGAGAUUUAAGUGGAGGCAAGGAAUUAAGCAGAUAUAUUCUUGAGAUUAGAAAUUUGGGUGGAACAUCAAUUUUGUAAAGAAAUUAAGUUUAAGCACACAACAAUUACCUGCCCAUGUGUUGGUGCACUGCCACUCCCAUUAAAAUAGCACCCAAUCGAUCACUAUUUUUGGAAUGUGAGAUAUAUAACGCCAUUCUUGCCCUUUCUCGAAUUGGAGCCGUUGUUCCAGCAAAGGACACGAUCCGACAUCCAGAGAACAGAGGGAGUCUGGCAGUCUCUCUUUUGUCAAGUAUUGGAGCUUAGGGCAACGGACGAUACUUAAGGUUUCAAGAGUGGUGAGGUGGUGAAGACCCGCUUCUGUCAAGGAUUGGAGCCUUCUGCACGACCAGAUUUCUAAUUUCUUGAGAGAGAUAAGGCGUUGAAGAACAGAUCCUGUCGAGAAUUGGAGCUCAGGGCAGUUCUCGAUCCAUAAUUCUCGAAGAGAGGUGAGUUGUUGAAGCCCCUUGUUGUCAAGAGACUUGAGAUUUGGAAGACCCCAGAUUGAAAGAUGAGUUAGAGAAGAGGGCAGCAGACACUCCUUGGGAAAUAAUUCCACGCCUUCACAUCCACCUCCGAUUGUGAAAUGAGUAAGAGAGGUCAGUCUUUGCAAAUCCCAGUCCACCUGUGACGUGAGUUGGUUGCAGCGCCAUAUUGCAAGUUCCCGUAGGUUGGAAGGCAAACCCUCCCUGUGCAACAACAAUUCUGGACAAUCCGCUAAACACAGUUUCUGCAGAGAUGAAUGGGUGUGCGCCAGCAAUUUGAGAUUGGAGCAAUUCCAAAUAUCAUGGUACAUCGAGUCAAGAGCAGGCAGUUGGAUGUAUACAAGAUUAAGGCACCGAUGGAUCUUCAAAUUACGAAGAGAUGUGGGAUCCCCCUCUGAAAUCGAGAUGCAGAGCUCCUCAAGCCCCUUAAGACCAUUUAUUUCGAAAUCAGUCAACCUGGGGAAGAUGUCCAAUACUGAGAAGGACAACAAGAGAGAAUCACAGGUACCGCCAUUGAUUGAUAGAUUUUCGAGAACCGGGUGAUGGCAUCUGAACAACUUAGGUAGAAGAAGGUCCAAUUUGGUACAAUCAGAGAUUGAUAACGAUUUCAAUGUAGUGGGUAAGCCAACUUUGUUUGGGGAUCUGUAAAAAGAGCAAUCACAAAUUUCCAAACUGUACAUGUUGGUUUGCAGGAUUUCCUCCUCUAGUAGAGACUCCACAUAAUCACAUUUUCUAAUGUAGAGAUAGUGGGGUACCAGUGGAAGUUGCUUCAACUGAGAGACGUCUGAAAUUUCAAUUUUUGAAGUUUGACUAGCUGUGAACCCACAAGUUUGCCUUUUCAACUGCAAUUCACGGGCAGCAAGAACGUUGAGUGUAGGCACAAGCAGCUGUGGGCAAUUUCGAAGGUUAAGUUCCUUCAAUAAAGGAAGGUGCAUUGGUAAUUCCCCAGUGAGUUUUGGACAGUUACUUAUAGAAAGCUCCUGGAAACGAGGGAAUUCUCCAUGUUUGCCUCCACAACAUAACCAUUUCUCCCAAUUGGACAUAGAGGAAAAUGAUAGAGUUUGCAGGGAUGGGAAGGAGGGAUGAAGCGAGGAAGAAGAAUUCCCAUAAAACUCACUACCCACCCUCACUACUCCAUUCAUUCCAAAGAUCUUUAUAUGUUCAAGACAAGGUAGCUGCCCCAGUGGCGGCAAUGUUGAGCAAUUCCUACAAUUCGAAAGCUGAAGGGAUACGAGAUUUGAAAAUGAUCCGUCUCCAAGCCAAUCUGGAAAUGUUAGACCAGGAUACCCUCCAAUGGACAACUUUUUUAAAUUUGGAUGAGGUGUUAGCCUGUUGAGAAUAUCAUCUUGUAUAGCAUCAUGACUAAUCCCCCGACUCCAAUUCAAGGAUAACUCAUCAAGGUAUUUCUUAUCCUUCAUUUUCGCCUGCAAUGCAUCCUCAACACCCACCACAUUCUCCAUUUUUGAAAUUUCAAGUCUUCCUCGAAUCUCUGAAAGCUUCCACAAUUCUCCAAAUCUGAAUCCACUUUCUUUGCCCACAGUAAAAUUAGAUAAUUUCUGCAAACUUUUUAAUUGACCUAUAUCAUUUGGCAUUUCUUCCAAUGAAUUAGACCCACUAAUAUCAAGAUAGCGCAAAUUAAUCAACUUCCCCAUUUUUGAAGGCAAUUCAAGAAGAGAAUCACAAUUACUCAGCAUCAUCGUUUGCAAAUUGCACAAACAACAUAUUGAUUCAGGUAAUCUUUUAAUCCAUGUUGUAGAGAGAUCCAAGUAACGCAACUGUUUUAAAUUGUGUAUUGAAUCAGGCACAUCUCUUAUGCAGUAUGCACGCAAUGACAACACCCGCAAAGAUUUAAAUUUUGGUAAUAUAUUGUGUAAAACUCUUGUACUCAACAAAUAAGGAGGCCAUGAUGUCUUCACCUCUAAGAUUGUUCUGAGAUGUUUGGCUUCACCAACAGGCUCAAAAGUUUCAAACACAGCUCCCCGGUCAUCGUCACUUUCAAAGUGGAAAAAAUGGCGAGCCUUAUCAGAUAUUUUUGGCAGCUUACAAUCUUCCAAUCGAAUGCAAAAUUCUUGGGAGAUAUGUUGAGCCAAGUCAUGUAUCAGAUCAUGCAUUACAAAGCAUGAUUUUUCUCCUCUAAUACAUUUUUGAAAAAACGACUUUGCUAAAAGUUCAUUUAAAUAUGAAUCACCUACCUCUUCCAUUCUUCUGUUACUUUGUCCUGAGUGUAAAAACCCUUCUGCCAUCCAUAAUAGAAUCAGCUUCUCUUUGUGGAAUUCAUAGUCCUUGGGAAAAUUUGAACAGUAAGCAAAACAACGCUUCACAGGAGGAGAGAGAUGCUGAUAACUCAAUCUAAGAGACGGAAGAAUUUCAUGAUCAGUUUGGGAAUGCCACGUUUCGCUAUUCAAAAUAUCUUCCCAUUCUCCUUUUUCGGCCUUGUAGUACAAGAGGCUCCCGAGUGCUUUAACAGCCAAAGGCAAUCCUUGGCACUUGUCCACAAUCUUUCUUCCUAUGGGCUCAAGCUGUGGAUAAGCGCUGGAGUCUCCAUUUGGAAAUGCAAGUUUUGUAAAUAUGGACCAACUAUCUUCAGGGCUUAAUGUCCCCAAAUGAUGAGUAGGGACUGCUCGCAUGAUUUUUGCAGCAGUUUCACUGCGACUAGUCACAACAAUCUUGCUUCCCUCUGCUGCAGUGAGGAGUGGAUUUCGUAGGCCUACCCAAUCAUCAGACUUCAUAUCCCAGACGUCGUCCAGAACAAGAAGAAAUUUCUUGUUACCUACUCUCUCUUUGAGUUUAAGCUGAAGCAAAUUUAGGGUGUCAUCAGGUUUAGUUUCAGAACCGAUUUCCUUGAGAAUUGAUUUUGUCACCUCCUCGAUGAGAAAAAUCUGAGUGGAAACACAGACCCAUGCUUUCAAGUGGAAGUGUUGCUUGACCGUGUCAUGGUUAUAGAGAAGCUGAGCGAGUGUGGUCUUGCCGUUGCCGCCGAUGCCCACUAUGGACAUCACAUCUAUGUUGUUGCCUGUUGCAUUUUCCUUAUCAGAAAGCAACCACUUCACCAUCUCCUCUUUGAUUCCAUCCCUGCCCACCACAGAGGACUCAUCCACCAAAGAAGUGGUUGGUGGCCUUGGUGACAGUUUAUCGCCCUCACCUUCUUUCAGCCCAAGCUUCUCUUUUUCUUCAGCAAUAUCUUCAAGCUUAGCAAUCAUCUCCUUCACCCUGGACUCCAUGCUUUGAUUGGCAAAUGGAGCCUUAACCCUGGUAGAGAACUUGUUCCACACCUGAUAAAUUCCACCAGGUUGGGAGUCAGCAGCUUCAAUCUCGCACCGCAAGGCUUCGGUAGCGAUCUCGUCCAACAGGUCCUCCGCAUGAUACACAGCAUCCUUAACCUGGACCAGCCAGUCUUUGACUAGUGGGUCUGAAAAUUGCUUCAUCUCCGCAUCAUUGAGCGCUUUGUGGACAACCAGCAAUUUCCUCUUCAAUUUGUUGAGGAGUUCAUGGCUAAGCUUCUGUCCCCGGAUGAAGUUCAUCAACUCCGGAGAAGUCAACCUGUCGAAUAGAACUUGAAGUGAAGCGGAUAGGAGUGCGUCGGCCAUAUCUGUUGACUGUUGCUUUGCAAAUCAAAGGAACUCAGCGAUUCAGUUCAGGAAAAAACGAAGGUAAAGCAGAUGCAGAAUCACACCACCAAACUGUAGUGGACUGGUUUGAACACGAGAUCCAAAAAUAAUGGAAAAAUAAAGAAGGCCACAGAGAGGCACAUGGGGCUGCACCAAACACCAAGGGAUGCACAUGGUCUGUCACCCUCGAGCAUAAAACUCAUGUUAUGUUUAUUAAUGACUCUUAUCUUUUUCAAAUCCAUAUAUAAUUUUAUCUAUAACUUCAUGCAUGUUUUUUUCAAUUGUUAGUAUUGAUUUUUUAUUUUUUUGUUUUUAAUAUAUUGGUGAAUCAAUUGGUGGAGUUGGGGCAGAUCUUUUGACAUUGAUCUAGGUCUUCAAUUUUUUCUAGAUUUGCUCUUUAGAAUAUUGUAUUUUAUUUACCAUUGCAAAAUAAUUAUUCAAGCUCUUAACUUGAAAAUAUUAAAAUUAUUUUUAACAAUUAGCAUUUUUGUUAAAAAAAAUAACUCGGUAGUUUAUGAAUUAAAGUAUGAAAAUUGUCAUUUUCUAUGUUUUCAUAAUGAUGUAAUUGUGAAACUCCUAACCCCCCAAAAAAAAAAAAAAGGAGAAAAGAAAUUUCACCUUAAUUGGCUUUUGUCAAAGGCAUAUAUACCUUUUACUCGCAUUAGUUCUAUACCUACUUGGAUAUCCUUGGUUUUGUACAACCGAUAAUGAAUUUCAUUCAAUUUGAUCGAUUUUGUAGUUCUUUAGUCGAUUUUAAUCAUAAUAAAAGAUUGUCUAUAUUUGAAUGUUUAUGUAAAUUCAACUGAAUUAAGAAUUUUUAUAUGACAAAAAUAAAUCUUAAUUAAAUAACCUUAUUAUUGCCUUCUCUAGCUAUAGCAGUCAUAAAACUUCUCAUAAUUACAUCAUCACCACCUUCACUUUCCAAUCUUGAAGCCACCUUGCAAGAUUCCUUAACAACAUCAUUAUUCAAUUCAAAAAAAUUUCACAUAAAUUAAAUAUAUAAAAAAAAAAAAUCAUUUUUCUCAAUUUUUAUUUUUUUUCUUUUCUGAGCAUUUGUCAAGCAAAUAAAAAAUAGGCUAAAUAACUUGAAAAUAAAUUGAAUAAUAAACCAAAGGAUGGAUUGGUAAGAUUAUUUAGUAUUGUUUAAUCAUAAUAAACAAAAGAGCAUUGCAAAGAUUAUUAUAAGAUGCCUACUUAAAUCAAUAAUAUCCUCCUCACUUCCUUCCAUAUACACGAGAUUCAAAAAAUAAAAAAAUAGAAUAAGCCAUGCGCAUGAGAUUCAUUUAGUUUUAUCGAGAGAGUUGUGCCUCUCAUGUACACACACACGCCAGAUUAAAUUGAAAGAUGAAAUAAGUCAUAGAAGGCUCAUGGGGCUGCUUAAAGCCUCACAGAGAGAGAGAGAGAGAGAGAGAGAGAGAGAGAGAGAGAGAGAGAGAGAGAGAGAGAGAGAGAGAGAGAGAGAGAGAGAGAGAGAGAGAGAGAGAGAGAGAGAGAGAGAGAGAGAGAGAGAGAUGGUUUUUUUUCUUUUCUUUACUUUUGUGAAAAAACAAUCAUUUAUGCUAUGUUUGGUUGGUUCAUAGAAAGUUUGAAGGAAGAUCGUAAGACAAAAAAAAAAAAAAAAAAACAUUGCAAAGAAAAAAAAUGAUUUAAAAUUAAUAAAUUCAUUUUACAUAUAUAUUAAUUCUUUGAUAUAAGAUUAAAUAAUUUAAAAAUAUAUAAUUUUCUUAAUCAUUUUAAUUACAUUUGACUUUUUUUCAUAUAUUUUUUUCCAUAUUUUAUAUGAUAUAAUAAAAAAUGAUAAAAUCAUUUUUCUUAACAUUUUCUUCUUUUCUUGAUAAUUUUCAGGAACUAAAUAUAAAUUUAUAUUAAAAGUAAUCCUUUAUAUUAAAGUCAUACUUGGUUCUCAUAAAGUGUUCCAAAAAAAAAUGUUAAAAAAAAAUUAAUUUUCUCCUGUUUGAUUUUACUAUUAAGAAUAUGAAAGAAAGUCAAAUAUAAUUAAAAUUAGUAAAAAAAUUUAUAUAUUUUCAAGUUAUUUAAUUUUUAUAUAAAAGAGUUAAAUAAGUAAAAUGAGUUUAAAAUAUGAUAUAAAAACAAUUUAUUGACUUUUCACAUCUAAUUAUCUUAUCCUUCAUUUGUAAUACUAGAAGUAUCAAAGAAAUGAAAAAAAGGAAACCUACAUGAGAAUUUAAAAUCAUAUGUUUGAAUGAGAGUGAAAUCUCAAAUACUAAAUUACAUAUAUUUUUAUUAAUGAAGAAAAAUGAGAAAUAAUAUUUUUUUUAAAAAGGAUCUAAAUUUUUUCCCUUUACUUUUUUUACAUGUCACAAACAUGGUUCUCUUAGUUUCUAAUCUUUCCUAAUUCAUCAAAGAAUAAAUCCCCAUAGUCAAUGACACAAGUACUGCAGACAUGGCAAUGAGAAUUCUGCUAAUGAGAAGCUAGCACCAAAAGAUUUAGGUCUUCUCUUAUGACCCAUAACCAUGACAUUCAUCUCAAUGAUCAUCUCUAUGAAGACAAAAAUUCCUCGUCACAAUACCUAAGAAAUGCCAAAACAGGAACAAAACUUCCUACCAAACUUCAAGCCCAUCUGCCUACCUUUAAAAGGUGGUCCACUGGGUCAAUGCAAAAUAGACCAGCUUUUAUUACAGAGACUCCCAAUCAAUGAAUGCAGGCUGCUAAACCAAAAUAUAAAACAAUAAGAUGUUUUUAGGUUAUUGAGAACAUGAACCAAAACAAAGAAAACUUUUUUGUUUUAGUGAAAAAUAAGACAUUGAAAGGAUAUGCAGUCAUAAAACUUGCAAUUUUGUAUAUUGCAGAGUUAAAUCUCCACUUUUAAUACACUGGAAAGGGAAUAGCAGCAAGAAAAGACCAAAGCAAUUAAAAUUUCUUACUGCCAAAGCACAAUACAUCCCUACUUUACUCCAUGCUUGUAUAAGAGAACAUAGACCCAGAAAGUGACAAAAACCUAAGCAUCCAUGGUUUUCCAUAGUUAUCAAGUGGUUCACUUGGUUUAGGCAUACUGCCAAAUAAAAACAGAGCAUGACCUUGCCAGUACCAUUAGAAUAUGGCAACUAUCUGCAUCCAAAAUGUGAGCACUUAGGUUCAAUCCUCCUCGACUCCUCUUCAAUAUUUGUUUCAAACUUGAAGCUUCACGAAAAAAGAAAAUCCCUAACACACCUGCCAUCGUUAAAAAAAUUAGCAUCAACAAGCAGACAUAAGAUUCCUUGCACCUAACAUUGACAUGGACUCAAAUUAUCCAAAACUAACCUAAAUUCAUGGAGAUGAAUGCCAAUCAAGCAAAGCACGUGCCUGUGUGAUGUUUGGUCAGUCAUCUGGAGAAGCUUGGAGCACGCCCAUGAUUAGAUCUGUCACAUGAGCUGUAUUUUGGUAAUUCUGGAAUGCGGUAUUUUCUAUUUAAGAUAAUAGAUGGUGAGAAACAUAUAGUCAGAUGAAUAAUAAAACACAUACUCUAGUAUUCUACUGAUUGAUUCACCCAUUCACUAAUCAUUAAAAAGUCUAGAAAUAUAGAAGCUUAAAUUUUCGAAUUUAUGGACAUAGUAAAUAAGCUCAUAAUCAUCAUUUCUAUACAAAAUCAGGAAGUUCAAUGAGGAAGUUGCACUCAACCGCCUUAAGAUAAUAAGGACAUCAGAAUAGAAAACAAAGCUACAAAAAGUCUUAAAGCCAAGAUCAAUUUAAUUAUAGUAUUCUUCUUGGGAGUUGCAUGGUAUAAACCUUCGUUAAGACAUGGACUCUAAUUUUCUUUUCAAAGAAACAGCUAACAUCCUGAUCGGAUAAACAAUGAGAGCCAAUGCCCAGGGCCACUAACAGGAAUGUAGGCAUGGAAACAACAAUUCUGCUAAUGAGAAGCAGCACAAGAAGACCGUCACCUUCAGGAUCCAUGUCAUUGAUCCAAAUGAUCAACUCAGCAACAGUUAAAAAAAAAAAAAGUAUACAAAAAUUCAUAGUCACAGUCGAGAUCUAAGAAAUGCCCAUAAAAGAACAUAACCACAUCAAAAUUAGGACAAAACAAGUACAACUACCUAAUAAUAAAAAAAUUGACCAAAAUACUUCAUGUAAACAAAUAAAAAAAGUUGACCAAUUCAGUAUCAUAAAAUACUUCAUAUAAAAUUUUUGCUUUUAAAAUCGUAGUUUGCUAAAUGAUCCUAGUUGGUUGAUAUGGAACACAUGGAGAAGAAAAGAAAAAACAAAAAGUAUUGAGUAAUUUAGUUUGAUAAAAAUUAAAAAGAAAAUGGAAAUUUAUUCGGAGAAGUAGCAUCAAUUACCCAUGGAAUAAGUGCCUGCAGAUGUCUCCCAAAGAAUCUUAAUUCAUUCGUAAAGCUACAAUAUUGACUACAAACUAACCAAAAAGAUCAAAAACUUUAAAUUCAUGCAAAUUAAUUUAUAAUAAAACAAAAAGAAGAGAAAUUCAUUCUCAUAUACAAAUUCUAAAAGGAAGAGUGACAAGAAAAGAUUAACUAAUAAAAACUCCAAAGGGGUGUGGUGGUAUAGAAACUUCGACCUUCCUCAUUGUUGGCCUAAUUACAGCCUCAAAGAUGAUUAAAGAGCCAUUGCUCAUGUGAUUAAAAUAUGAUAACUAGCUUUGUUAAAAUGUGAAUUACCAAGAAUCAAUCUUCCUUUACUCAUCUAGAGAUGCGUAAAUUCUAGAGAUUGUCAGAAAUUCUGAAAAGUACUUGACAGCUACUUUAUGAAUUGGAACAUAAAGUUUCUGAAUAAAAUAAGCAUAGAAUUAAUUACCUGACUGUAUAUUGGUGCGGUACCACUUUCAUUAAAAUAUCACACCAUUGAUCACUAUUUUUGGAGGUGAGAGCAAGCAAUUGCAUAUAUAUGAGAUCAGGGUACCCUCUGAUUUGCAAGUAACGUCAAUAGCCUGUCCGAUAUGAAGUUCAUAAUUAUAUGAACUCUAUUGCAUUCUCUGCUUCCCCUUCAUCAGCUUGGCAACUAGGCAUUUGAAAAAAUUUGGUCUUUAAAAUCUGGAUCCAAGAAAGAAUAACCAUACAGGCACACACACCUGGACAGCCUCCCCUCUUCAUCAAACAAUUCAAUAGCUGUUAAAUCCAUGGCCGCUGGUGCCUAUGCUGCACAUGUCAUCAGGAAUUGCCUGCACAACAGACCAAGAAGAAGCAUUUGAGUGCUUAUAUGAUCUAGCAGCUCCAUCAGAAUCAAGUGUUGCCCUGUAGUAAUAGUCACUCCUUAAGUCUCUUAUGCUUAAGUCUCUCCCCAUGUGCAGGUAGGUAUCUGGGUCUGAUUGUUACUCAACCCAACCAAGCAUGGGCAUCCAUACUUGAUACUUUUCAGGUUGGUCAAAUUGAAAUGAGUUACAUAUAAUGCUCAUCUCCCGUAUCGUUUUUGAAGCUAGUUCGGCUAGACUAAUAGACAAAUAAGCCCUCAAAAUAAACUUGCCCAGGUUGAGAACAGACCUUAUAUUGAGAUAGUCCACAACCAACUCUGCUCUUAAUAUAUAAGAAAUAAUGAAAAAUAAAUAGUCAAACAAAUAAUAAAAUGCAUAACCUAAUAUCCUAUUGAUUGAUUCACCCAGUUUUUAACCAUUAGAAAGUCUGGAAAUAUAGAAGAGUGACUUUUCGAAUUCAUGAGGAUGGUGAAUAAGCUUAGAAUCAUCAUUUCUACACAAAGUCAGUUGGUUCGAUGAGGGAAUUACACUCUUAACUACUUUAAGAUAAUACAACAACAUCAAAAAUAGAAAAUUGAACUACAAAAGGUCUUAAAUUAAGAUCAAUUUAGACAUAAUAUACUUCUUGGGAGUUUCACGGUAUAAACCUUUGUAAAGAAUUAGACUCUCCUUCUUUAAGACUAUGGACCCAAGACUCAUACUCACUGAUAGAAGUGCAGGCAUGCCAAUGAGAAUUCUGCUAAUGAGAACCUAGCAUAAGAAUAUUAAUGUCUUCUCCUGUGAUCCAGAACUAUAGUCCGAAAUGGGAUCCAUGACAUUGAUGUCAAUGAUCAUCUCCAUGACAACAGAAAAUAUACAGAAAUUCCUAGUCAUAGUCAAGACCUAAGAAAAGCCAAAACAAGAACAACGAAACAUUAAAAUUGGGACAAAAACAAGUGCAUAAGCUUCCUAAUGAACAUUUAAGUCUAUUAGCUUACCUUUAAAAAGUGGACCACUUAGUUAGCACGCAAUAGACCAGCUUUUGUUACGACUCCCAAUCAAUGCAGGUUGCUAUUAUCAUAACCGAACUUUGUUCCUCAUAAGCAGUCUUUUAUGCUGAUACUGGUAACUUAAUAUGGAACAUGUACAAAAAAGAAAAGAAAUAACAAAAAGUAGUAAUUAAUUUCGUUUGAUAUUGAAUGGAGUAAAGUCACAACAUGUGCAUAUGCAAGUAUAUUAUCCUAAAAACCACUUGCAAAAGGCACCAAGUACCCAACUAAUAUCAGACUUGAAUAACCAUGAAUUACCUAAAACUGUAUCCACAUGUUCCUGCAUGAGAUAGAUACACAGAUAGUUUCAACUUUGCUCAUUUGGAAAGAUCAAUUAAAGCUACAAUGCAAAUUACCUGGGAUGAAUUUUCCUUUGUUGGAGAACUUCUCAAAUCAAACAAAUAGAGUUUGUUGCUUGCUCAAAUCUUCAACAACUGGACCAGCCAAAGACUUGUGUAGAUGUACAAUUCCUAAAGAGUGUUGAGCAUAUUAGGAGCCUUUGAAUUCUGAAAGGAGGUCAAGACCUUAACAAUGUAGAAGGUUUAAGUAAUUCUGUUAUCAAACAUGGUAAAAUUGAUUAAACAAAACCUUGAACAGUGAGGUAUUUUCUUCUAAAAAAGAUGAGUCCACCAUUGUGUGGACUAUUGAGAAUAUAAAAAAUACGACAUCAGAAUUAUAAGUAACUAAAAUUACCUACCAAUAAGCAGCUAGCUAGAAUAAAUCCAUGGUUUUCUCCAUGCCUGUAUUAGAGAAAUGACAAAGAAAGUGAGGAAAAAAAAUCAAAGCAUUCAUGUUUUUCGACAGUAAUUAAGUGGUUCACUUGGGUUAUGCAUACUGCCAAAGCAUGAAAAUAUGAGUACCAUUAAAAUAUGAUCUGAACUGUCUGUGUCAAAAUGUCAGCACCUAGGUUGAAUCCUCAUCUACGGCUUUUCAAUAACAUUUGUCCUAGGGUUGAAGCUUCAAGAAGAAGAAAUCUUAAAUCAAAUAAAUGGAGCUAAGGAAUUAUGCAGAUAUAUUCUUGAGAUUAGAAAUUUGGAUGGCUACAUCAGGAAUUGGAACAUAAAUUUUCUAACAAAAUAAGUUCAAGCACAAAGCAAUUACCUGCCGAUAUGUUGGUGCAGUGCCAUUUUCAUUAAAAUAGCACAUCAUCGAUCACUAUUUUUGGAAUGUGAGAUAUAAAACGCCAUUCUUGCCCUUUCUCAAAUUGGCACUGUUGUUCCAGUGAAGGACACUUGAGGACAUACAGAUAAGAGAGGGAGUUUGGCCGUCUCUCUUUUGUCAAGUAUUGGAGCUUAGGGCACUUGUAGAGAUCUAAGGUUUCAAGAGUGGUGAGGUGGUGAAGACCCGCUUAAUAAAAAUUAAUAAAAUAAAUGAAUUUAUUAUAUCUGGAAUAUGUAUAUAUGUCUUAUCUUAGGAUUAAUAUAUAUUAAAUAUCCAUUAAUAGAAAACCCAUUUUUUCUCUUUCCACAAUCUAAUCCUAAUACGAAAAAUCUUGAAAUAUUAUUGGUUUUCUAGCUUUCUUUUAAUUUCUCUAAAAUUUUUCAUUAAGUAAAUAAAUUUGGAAUCAAACUAUACCUCAUAGGUAAAAUUUAUUAAUUUUUAAAAUUAAUUUCAAACUCAAAAACCAAUUUAAUUAGUACUAAAAAGUCAAAAACACAAUAAUAUUAUAAAUUCAUAGGUCAAAAUUUAUUUAAAAUAACUUGGUUAGCUUCUUCUUCACAUAUAACCUAUUUUUAUAAAUUUUUUUCAUGAAGCAAAUAAACUUCAAAUUAAUCGAGACUUGAUGUGUUGAAUUCAUUAAUGAGUUUAAUAAUUUUUAAAAAUAAUUUAAAACUUAAAUAAUUAUGUAAUUAAUACCAUCAAUUUAUAAAUAAAAAUUGGUUUCAAAUGACUCUAUUUUUUUUUAUUUUCUAUGUAAAAUUAUUAUUUUCUUAUUUUUUUGUUUCUAUUAUGCAAAUGGACUCCAAAUUAAACAAGACUUAAUGUCAUAUUUUUAUCAAUGAGUCUAGUAAUUUUUAAAAAUAACUUAAAACUUAAAUAGUGAACCAAUUACUAUUAAAAAUUUAUGGACAAAAAUUGAUUUAGAAUAAUUUUAUUUAUUCUUUUUCUUUACAUAAUCAUUAUUGUCCGAUUUUUUAAACAAAUAAACUUUAAAUUAAACAAGACUUAAUACAUCGGAUUCAUUAAUAAGUUUAAAAAAUUUUAAAAAUAAUUUAAAAUUCAUAUAAUAAACUCAUUAAUAUAAGAAAUUUAUGAAUUAAAAAUGAUUCAUAAUGACUAUUAUUUGUAUUUUUGGUUUUAUUUUAAAAAUAAUUUUUUAAAAAUAAGCGUUAGAAGACAUGUUCAAACGGACCCUUAGCUUUUAAAAAACAAUGCAAUUAUGCAUUUUACAAUCUUUUCUAAAGGUAAUUACAAAUUGUUUUAGUUGUUUUUCCACCUUUCAACCCAAAAAAUUGUUGAAAAUAUAAAUAAAAAAAAAUAUUGUGAUAUUCAACUAUUUCACUUGAAGUUACCCAAAUAUGAAAAUAAGGAUUGAAGGGUGCAAUCAUGCAACCCAAUGGCAUUGAUUUAACAUAGGUUUUGUCCAAUUUACAACCAUAUAUAUUAGUGCAAUCACUAAUAAAAACUCAUUUUAAUGAUCAAGAUAAGUCAUUCUUCUAAUUAUGAGGUAGUAUGCUACAAUUUUAGAUUGAUUGUUCAAGUUUAUGAAUUGGUUGUAAACAAUCCAUCAACUUACAAUAAACUUAUGACUUGGAUCUUUCGUAUAACUUUUUAUACACUAAAAUCUUAUACAAUGCAAGUGAUGUAAACCCGAGUGUUCAAAUAAAUAUUAAUGUAAAUAAUGGCAGAAUAAUGGAAAUAGAAAUCAUAAUAUUAUAUAUAUAUUUAUGAAAUUUCACUUAGUUAAAUCAUGUUAUAUUUUUAAAGGCUUUGAUUUUUUUAAUUGGAUCUUGGGCUUUUAGGAUUUGAUCUUGGGUUUUAGUUGUUUCAUUCGAUGUUAGGCAUUUAUAAUUUUAUUUGGGAACAAUUCAUUUGAUCGAGGCUUCAAUUUUUUGAUGUGGGCUAUAGGCUGUGAUUAUUUCGGGCUUUGGGUUUUUGUGAUUUGGGCUAGUUUUGAUCAUUUAAUUUGUUGUUUUGGGCUUUGGUUUGGAUUGAUAUUUGAUUAGGCUUUGGGUAUUGGAUUUGUUGUUUCUUAAUUUGGAAAUAAUAUUUGACAUUGGCUUUUGGGCUUCGCUUUUAAUAUGUAGUUUUGACCUUGGUUAAUUCCUAUUUGAGCCCCUGGUCGGAUUAUUUCAUUUUGGCCUAUUGAUUUGUUGACUUGGACUUUGUGUUUGUGCUUGUUUGUGAUUUAGGCUUGGUCUAUUGUUCUGGGGUUUUAGUUUGAUUGUGGGCAUUUGUGUAUUACUUUGGGCUUGGCCUUUAUAAUUGUUUUGAAUUUAUUUAUGGUAUGGGCUUGGUUGUUUGAUUUUGACCUUCUAUAUACUCUAUUUGACCUGGGCUUAGGGCUUUCAUUUAGUUUAUUUGAGCUUGGUUAAUUUGAUUUGGAUUUGGGCCUGUUAUAACUUGUAAACUAUUUAGGCUUGCUUUUCUUUUAUUGAACAGAAUCAACAAAAGUAAGGUGUAUAUUUUUUUAAACAAGCAGAAUACGCGCAUUCAAAGUUUUGAAAAAUAGUUUUGAAAAAUUAAUUUUAAUCUUUUUUAUGUAUAUAAAUAUUUUCCAAAAAUAACUUUAUGAUAUAUAUUUCUUCAAGCAAUCAUAAACGAAAAAAAAAAAAAACAAAUGAAAAUAACCGAAAACAACUCAUAUAUUUUUUCAAAAAACACCUAAACCGGCUUGCUUUUUUUUUUUUUUUUUUAUCAAACAGUUUUCCUAUUUUCUUGUUCUUAAAUAUAGAUAAACAAAAGUGGUUCAUUGUGACCCUAUCAUUUGUCUUUUGUUUUUUAAUUUUAAAAUAGGUUUUAAAAACAAGUAGAAAAAUAUGAUGAAACGAACCCUUAUCUUUUAAAAAAUAAGGCAAUUCAAAAUACAUUUUAAAAGGCAAAUUAUAAAUUUCUUUAGUUGUUUUCUCAUCUUUGAAUCGAGAAAAUUUGUUUGUACGAUCUUUCCAUCUAAUUAGUCCCUUGAAAUAUUUGUCCCCUUUUUCAGUAUUAUCAAUAUAUUUAUGACUAUUUGAAUGAAAAUAUAAGAAAAUAUCAUAAAUAUUCUCAUGAAACUCCUUGAUAGCAAUUAUUUCACUUAUCAGUGAAAAUAAAGUUACCCAAAUAUAAAAAAGGAUCGAAGGAUGCAACCCAAUGGCAUUCAUCGAGAUGGCAAAGUUUGAUACAAUUUGCAAAUACUUCUAUAUAUACUCAUCUUAUCUUAUAUUUCAUUGAAUAUAAGAUAAGAUAAAUUAAUGGAUAUUUAUCAUAUAGUAUCCCUACCAAAAAUGUCCCCUCCUUUAUUUGAACUCAUGGUAGGUGAAAGAAUGUAUUUUCGUGCAAAUGAUAACAAGGCAAUGAUUCGAGAUCAUGAAUAGAAAGAAAUUCCAAAAGCGCUACACAGUAACCUUCCUCAUGGUUGGCCUUAGAGCUGAAUCCUCCUGAAUGCACCAAAUGGACACCAUCACUAGCCUCUCCAACCUCUUCAUAUCAUUCAUAAUUUGCAUCCUCAUCAUCUUCCACCAACUUCUCCAACUUCCUUUGCACAAACAGUUCAUAAUCUCGAUCCAUUAGAGCUUCCUCUCCGUCUUCCAUAUGAAAGAGGAAAUCUUCUUCUAACACAUUGUCUCUAUAAAUGGCUACUUUGCAUAAGCAAUCCUCUUUACAUGACUCUUUAUACUUCUCCUGCUCAACCAAUUUGUGUUGUUUAAUUCUUUCAACUCCACUUCAUCCUUCGCUUUCUUCACUUUCUUCGCUUCAUCUUCAUCUGCUUGGCAACUCCACUUCACUCUCACUCUCAAGAACAAAGUUACCGAGCAUGGCAGCAUGAGUAACCCCUUUAACAGCCGACUAAGUUCUCCAAAGCUCAUAUCCUCAUUUGUCAGCGAGUUUGAACUCCCCAUUUUUGGUGAGUUCAAUUUUUGUACCCUUCUGCCACUUCUUUAUCUGCAUACCAAAUUAUUGUUUGGUAAUUCAUGUUCGCUAAUUGCAUAUAGAACAUAAUUAGCCCUUUUAAAAAUAAUAAUUAAUAUGAUCAAUCAUCUUCUAAGAUGGCAUGUUACAUAAAAGGUAACAAGAUUAUGCUACUUUUUAAAAUUUUUCCUUAGGGUGUCAAUGUCAUAAUGUGGGUACAAACUGACAGUAUAGGAACAAGUACAUUGAUAAAAAUUAAAAGAGAAAAAUUCGAAAUUUAUUCAGAGAAGUAGCAUCAAUUGCCUAGGGAAUAAGUGCCUGCAGAUGUUACUCCUUAGUCCCCAGUAUGCUUGAAACAAACUGGAGACUGAUCAGUUUCUUACAGUAUCAGAAGACGGCAGCCUAGCUAUAGCUAACCACACAAAGAGAUUGAAGAACACUGAGCUGCCAAGUAGUAGUGACCCAACAAGAAUCAAGGUAGACUUAUCUGGGCCUGUCUGCAAGCCUUUUGCUCUGUUUUCCACAGGAAAGAAGGAAUCUCUUCUGCCAACACAUUGUCUGUAUAAAUGGCUACUGCACAGAAGCAAUCCUCUUCACAAGACUCUUUAAAACUUCUCCUUGUCAACAAUCCGUCUAAUCCAAAGUUCAUAAUUGGAGAUUUGCCAGUCUAUGUUGUUAUUCUAUGAACUCUACUACCUGCUUGGCAUCUGGACAUUGGAAAAUUUGGUCUUUAAAAUAUGGAGCCAAGAAAGAAUGCCUACAUAGGCACUCACAUCUGAACAACCCCCUCUCCCCAUCAAACAAUACAAUAGCUGUUGAAUCCACAAAUCCCGCUGCCACUGCCACUUGCAGCUGCAUUGCAAUUGUCAUCAGUAAUUGCCUGCAGAACAGACCAAGAAGUAUUAAUGCAGUUCCAAUGGUUUGCAGUGUUCUGUUUUCGGUGCUUAUAUAAUUAAAAUCAAGUGUUGUCUUGUAUUAAAAUCACUCCCAAAAUCUAUCUUCUGAUAAGAGGUUAACUUAUGUGGCAAGAUGGUAUCAGUGGGAUUCUUGAAGCACGCCCAGGCGCAAAUAACUAAAGCCAUAUUUUCAAAAAAAUU
This 20935-nucleotide long non-coding RNA is filed under the name Vitis vinifera (wine grape). Its description in RNAcentral is "long non-coding RNA (VVIN_LNC004398)". The record is from RNAcentral. Lineage: Eukaryota; Viridiplantae; Streptophyta; Magnoliopsida; Vitales; Vitaceae.